Molecule: long non-coding RNA, 895 nt
Filed under: Dasypus novemcinctus (nine-banded armadillo)
Lineage: Eukaryota; Metazoa; Chordata; Mammalia; Cingulata; Dasypodidae
Description: lncRNA (ENSDNOG00000052550.1)
Source: RNAcentral
CACCAAUAAACUGAUAAUAGGUGGACAUACCACUGCUUCUCCCUGGAGGAUGUGGAAAUUGUGGUCAUAUCAUCAGGCAGCAGCUCCAUCAUGCCUCUCACAGCUUCCCAAGUAGCAGCCCAAAGUAAAUCUCCACAGAAAGGCACAGGCCCUUCAGAACCUGGAGUCACCACAGGGCCCUGCCCGGUAACCACGGAGCCACUAGACUCAACCGACUGCAGAGAAUCCCCCAGCAUUCCGCCUGGAACCCAGCAGCAACUGACAGCUUUAACAGAGAAAAUUAUGGCUAAGUAACAUUCCAAGUCUUCUAAGCCCAAGGACCAUAUGGCAACAUCAACUGAUAAACCAGCCACCACCUGAAAAGAAGCUCAAAUUGACAACUGUGAGACAUAAUUCAAAGAGACUCCAAAUAGGCGAUUUGAUACCCUGGACGUGACUGAAGACUUGUUGAACAUUGCAGGCCAUAACAAUCACUAGCUGACUCAAGUGAUGUCAUAUGGAAUGAAAGAACUGCCCAUUCUAAAUUGCUGUUCUACAGAAUUGUGGGAAAUAAUCAUAAUAUUUCAUCCAUGAGCUUAAACACUAGUCCAGGUAGACCAACAUAUGUGGGUUUUGGACCCAGAGAAUGAAAGAGGAAGACAUUUUUUAUGGAUAUUAAAGAGAUACAAAUCCAAAAAGUACUAGACCAUUUAGAUGGAUUUGAGAUAUCAUGAGAGAGACUUCAGGAAGAUAUACAGUUUUCUAGUUUGAGUUGUGACUAGCAGGAUGAGUUGAUGCCAUUUUUCACUUAUAUAGAGCUUAAUAGCAUAUGAACAGCUUUUGGUAUGAGGAGGGUGGAUAUGGGAAAUUUGUUUGGAUUUGAAAAUGUGGAUUUUUUUUUUGUAUAUAUAUAUUU